RNAcentral lists this ribosomal RNA (527 nucleotides) under uncultured Bacteroidota bacterium. RNAcentral describes it as "SSU rRNA". It matches the Rfam family "Bacterial small subunit ribosomal RNA", at positions 242 to 787 of the family's 1533-position model. The record is from RNAcentral. Lineage: Bacteria; Pseudomonadati; Bacteroidota.
CAGGUAGUUGGCGGGGUAACGGCCCACCAAGCCAACGAUCAGUAACUGGUGUGAGAGCACGACCAGUCACACGGGCACUGAGACACGGGCCCGACUCCUACGGGAGGCAGCAGUAAGGAAUAUUGGUCAAUGGACGCAAGUCUGAACCAGCCAUGCCGCGUGGAGGAUGAAGUCCCUUGGGACGUAAACUCCUUUCGACCGGGAAGAUACUGACGGUACCGGAAGAAGAAGCACCGGCUAACUCUGUGCCAGCAGCCGCGGUAAUACAGAGGGUGCGAGCGUUGUUCGGAAUUAUUGGGCGUAAAGGGCGCGUAGGCGGCGCGGUAUGUCACCUGUGAAAUCUCCUGGCUCAACUGGGAGCUUGCAGGCGAAACUGCCGUGCUGGAGUGUGGGAGAGGUGCGUGGAAUUCCUGGUGUAGCGGUGAAAUGCGUAGAUAUCAGAGGAACACCUGUGGCGAAAGCGGCGCACUGGACCACAACUGACGCUGAGGCGCGAAAGCUAGGGGAGCAAACAGGAUUAGAUACCC